GUGGGGAAUAUUGGACAAUGGGGGCAACCCUGAUCCAGCAAUGCCGCGUGUGUGAAGAAGGCCUUCGGGUUGUAAAGCACUUUUGUCCGGAACGAAAAGUCCGGGGUUAAUAACCCUGGAUGCUGACGGUACCGGGUGAAUAAGCACCGGCUAACUUCGUGCCAGCAGCCGCGGUAAUACGAAGGGUGCAAGCGUUAAUCGGAAUUACUGGGCGUAAAGCGUGCGUAGGUGGUUUGUUAAGUCUGUUGUGAAAGCCCUGGGCUCAACCUGGGAAUGGCGAUGGAUACUGGCGAGCUAGAGUACGGUAGAGGAUGGUGGAAUUCCCGGUGUAGCGGUGAAAUGCGUAGAGAUCGGGAGGAACAUCAGUGGCGAAGGCGGCCAUCUGGACCAGUACUGACGCUGAGGCACGAAAGCGUGGGGAGCAAACAGGAUUAGAAACCCGGGUAGUCC
Molecule: ribosomal RNA, 450 nt
Filed under: uncultured bacterium
Lineage: Bacteria
Description: bacterial SSU rRNA
Rfam family: Bacterial small subunit ribosomal RNA
Source: RNAcentral